Molecule: small RNA, 124 nt
Filed under: Marmota monax (woodchuck)
Lineage: Eukaryota; Metazoa; Chordata; Mammalia; Rodentia; Sciuridae
Source: RNAcentral
GCGGGCAUGGUGGCACAUGCCUGUAAUCCUGGUGACUUUGGAAGCUGAGGCAGGAGGAUCACAAGUUCAAAGCUAGCCUCAGCAACAGCAAGGCGCUAAGCAACUCAGUGAGACCCUGUCUCUA